CUGCAACUGAAAUAGGUUAUUAAACAUUUGCUAAGGAAAAAAAAAAAAAACAUUUGCUAAGGACCAGGAAUUAUACUAAAUGGAUUGCCAAAAUGGCACUUAAUCUCCAAGGUCUGGAGGAGUGGAGGCUUGAAGAGGUGAUUCACCUUUCCCAAAGUCACACUGCCCCAAAGUGACAGCUGGAAUUCCAAUCCUGCGCUACCUGAUGCAAAAAACCCAUGCAUGCACUUGGCUGCUUUCUCAUAUCUCUCCUGGCAACCUAUAAAUCUCAAUUCUUUCCAGCUCCUGCCCUUUCUCCUUUGAGACCUGGGUUUGGGCUUAAUGGAGUUUCCACUCUUUUAUGCAGUCUUUGAUAUAAAAUAUUCCAGAAGCUGGUAUGUGCAAUUCACUGGGAUUGGGAAUCUUGUUAAAGAAAGAUUUUAAAACUUAUUUUCAACACUUAAUAACAUUCCACACAGAGCCCCCAUAUAAUGACACAAUACAGUAGUAGGGAAACAUUCAGGUGUUCAAGCUCGAUUCUCCAGAUCCAAGUGUGAUAAGAGAGACUCUGAUGAGAGUAUGGUCAUCAUUGCUGUAGAGCAUUAUACAAGCACAUGUCACACAUGGCUCCUGUUCCACAGGGACAUGGGACAAUUUACACGCUCCACCCCUGCCCUGGUCUUAUUCACCUCUCUCCUGUCACUGCUUGGGAUCAGCACCCGCUCAGAAUAUGGCUUCUAAUGUUACAUAUCCACUAAAACCAGAGGGCUUCUGUCUCUGACCUGCUUAAGUUUUCAAGGUCAAUGGAAACAUCUUCCUUUGGAGUACUGGUCUCCCAAGGCAAAAAUAGUCACUUUGUUUCCAGAAACAAAAUUACCCUCACAUGUACUGGGUUGGAAUGACAAGAAGGGCAAUAGUGCAGGAUACAUCACAAGGCAGAACCAGGUGGCCCUCUGCCUAGCCCUCUACAUGUGCCCAGGUGCCAUUCUGGGCUUUAUUGAGAAAUCCCUGACCUCUGAAAUCUUAGCAAUAUGUACCUUUUCUUCUUCUCCUGAGAUCAGAGCUUUGCUCAACUCCUGAAUAUCCAGAGUCUGGGAGGUGAACAGAUGUGAACAAUCACUUACCAAGGAUGGUAUAUUAGGUCAUUGUGAUAGAAAUUAAAACAAUGACGGACCACCAGAUUUCUAUUAACGUGCAUAAAAUUUGAUAUGAUGACAGCAUCAGAUGCUGCUAUGCAUGUGGGUCAGCAGGACACUCCAUUACUGGUGGUAACGCCAAAUGUCUCUGCCAAUUUGGAAGAUGCCUUGGCAGUUUCUUACAAAGAUAAGAUGGUGCAUGAUACAAUAAAGAAAACACAUCCCCAUGUAUUUCCUGAAAUGAGUUACUUUCAUCCACACAAGAAUAUACACAUAUGUUUAUUGCUCAUUUAUUUGAUGGUCAAGACUUGAAAGCAACCAUCAGGUCCUUCCAUAGGGGAAUGGAUCAACAAGCUCUAGUACAAAAAAAAAAAAAAAAAGCUCUAGUAUAUCCAUACUCUGAAUAUGAUUCAGUGAUGAAAAGUCUUGUGUUAUCAGAAAAAAAAAAAAAAAAAAGGUUUGUGUUAUCGGGAUGCCUGGAUGGCUCAGCGGUUGAGGGUCUGCCUUUGGCCCAGGCCAUGAUCCCGGAGUCUUGGGAUUGCGUCCUGCAUAAUGCUUCCUGCAUGGAGCCUGCUUCUCCCUCUGCCUGUGUGUCUGCCUUUCUCUCUCUGUGUGUCUCUGGAAUAAAUAAAUAAAAUCUUUUAAAAAAUAUAUUCAACACUUAUUUUUUCCUAAAGAAUAUCUGAAAAUGAGACUACCUGGGUCAAAGUUAAAGCAAUAAUCUGCAUAGAAUGUCUAAAGGUCUUGGAUUAUUAACAUAGCAAUGGUGCCCUCUAGUGUAUCAUGUAUUACACAUUCCUUGGUUGGGGAUGAGAGCAGUCUGGAUUUAAGUAGGUGGCUUCCUACUGAAAAUCUGGAUGAACAAUAAGCCUCCCCUAGGCUUAAUCACCUUAGCUCCUCAAACCCCCACCCACUGAUACCAAUUCCAGAGGCAAGGUCACAGAUACAUGGUGCAGCAACUUAUCACAGUUCGGAGUGCCACUGACCAAGACACAAGGUCCCAAUAACCCACAGUGAGAUUGCCAAGAUUGAACCACCUACUGCCAAUCUCCAGGAUCACUUUCUUAUUGAUCUCAAUAGGCGAAUCCAUCAUUUCCUGUUAUAACGCCUCUCUCUUUUCUGGAGGUUGUGGCUUAAACGAUACCCACCCUUUCCACACAUGCACAUGCACUGGGUCAUCUCAAGGAUGGUAAGGUAUUAAGAAAAUGUCAUUAACAUUAAUGUUUGUCAUUAAUUGAGAAAGACUGAGCUGAUGUUCAAGGAUAAGUAUAAACUAACACCUGAAUAUUUAUUUUGAGGAUUAAUUCAAACUCUCUUGGGUAGGAAACGUCAACCAAGAGAGCAUCCCAGAUCGGUCCAUUCUGCCUCUUCCCAGUAACCAAGGAUAUGGCAGAGAUUAUUAUUUACAUCCACGCCCACCCCCACUGCUUGUGUAAGAUGAGGAAAUAACAGCCGACCUAAUUGCCCCAGGUGGACAGGAGUUGAGCUAAUAAAAGUCAAGGGCUAAAAGGAGAGGACAGUGGUGGCAGCCCUGAAGUUCCCAUGGUGAAUUGCGGCUAAAAACAAAUCAGGAUAAAACGCCUUACCUGAUGUGUGAUGCCCACAAGAUCUCAGGAGUAACAUAGCUUGGGUUAAACGCUGCAAAAUUUGGAUUCAGAAAACCUGGGUUCAAAGCCUCCUCUUCAGCCUCUAGCUAUGUGAUCAGGCGAUAUAUGGUCUCCAUUUCUGCAUCUGUAAAACAGCAGUGAC
RNAcentral lists this long non-coding RNA (2864 nucleotides) under Canis lupus familiaris (dog). Its description in RNAcentral is "lncRNA (ENSCAFG00000054370.1)". The record is from RNAcentral. Lineage: Eukaryota; Metazoa; Chordata; Mammalia; Carnivora; Canidae.